Molecule: ribosomal RNA, 1244 nt
Filed under: 'Stevia rebaudiana' phytoplasma
Lineage: Bacteria; Bacillati; Mycoplasmatota; Mollicutes; Acholeplasmatales; Acholeplasmataceae
Description: bacterial SSU rRNA
Rfam family: Bacterial small subunit ribosomal RNA
Source: RNAcentral
GAAACGACUGCUAAGACUGGAUAGGAAACAAAAAGGCAUCUUUUUGUUUUUAAAAGACCUUCUUCGAAGGUAUGCUUAAAGAGGGGCUUGCGCCACAUUAGUUAGUUGGUAGGGUAAAAGCCUACCAAGACGAUGAUGUGUAGCUGGACUGAGAGGUUGAACAGCCACAUUGGGACUGAGACACGGCCCAAACUCCUACGGGAGGCAGCAGUAGGGAAUUUUCGGCAAUGGAGGAAACUCUGACCGAGCAACGCCGCGUGAACGAUGAAGUAUUUCGAUAUGUAAAGUUCUUUUAUUGAAGAAGAAAAAAUAGUGGAAAAGCUAUCUUGACGUUAUUCAAUGAAUAAGCCCCGGCAAACUAUGUGCCAGCAGCGGCGGUAAUACAUAGGGGGCGAGCGUUAUCCGGAAUUAUUGGGCGUAAAGGGUGCGUAGGUGGUUUAAUAAGUCUCUAGUUUAAUGGCAAUGCUUAACGUUGUCCUGCUAGAGAAACUGUUUUACUAGAGUUAGAUGGAGGCAAGUGGAAUUCCAUGUGUAGCGGUAAAAUGUGUAAAUAUAUGGAGGAACACCAGAGGCGUAGCGGCUUGCCAUGUCUAUACUGACACUGAGCACGAAAGCGUGGGGGAGCAACAGAUUAGAUACCCUGGUAGUCCACGCCGUAAACGAUGAGUACUAAGUGUCGGAGUAAUUCGGUACUGAGGUUAACACAUUAAGUACUCCGCCUGAGUAGUACGUACGCAAGUAUGAAACUUAAAGGAAUUGACGGGAUCCCGCACAAGCGGUGGAUCAUGUUGUUUAAUUCGAAGAUACACGAAAAACCUUACCAGGUCUUGACAUACUCUGCAGAGCUAUAGAAAUAUAGUGGAGGUUAUCAGGGAUACAGGUGGUGCAUGGUUGUCGUCAGCUCGUGUCGUGAGAUGUUAGGUUAAGUCCUAAAACGAGCGCAACCCUUAUCGUUAAUUGCCAGCACGUUAUGGUGGGGACUUUAGCGAGACUGCCAAUGGAAAAAUUGGAGGAAGGUGAGGAUUACGUCAAAUCAUCAUGCCCCUUAUGAUCUGGGCUACAAACGUGAUACAAUGGCUGUUACAAAGAGUAGCUAAAACGUGAGUUGAUAGCCAAUCUCAAAAAAACAGUCUCAGUUCGGAUUGAAGUCUGCAACUCGACUUCAUGAAGUUGGAAUCGCUAGUAAUCGCGAAUCAGCAUGUCGCGGUGAAUACGUUCUCGGGGUUUGUACACACCGCCCGUCA